Phyllostomus discolor (pale spear-nosed bat) is the source of this 827-nucleotide long non-coding RNA. RefSeq lists it as uncharacterized. Lineage: Eukaryota; Metazoa; Chordata; Mammalia; Chiroptera; Phyllostomidae. The transcript has 2 exons. The record is from RefSeq and is a predicted model, not a curated record.
UCUCCUGCUGUGAUAUUAUCUUCACUUUUACAUAAAUACAUGGGCAUUCCCUUAGUUCUUUUCUUCCUUUCAAUCAUACCUUCAUACCUCCAUUUCACAUAUCAACCACUGUCCUAUCUCAGUUAAGGAUGAGUUCUUCACGUCUUUCCCCAACAGUAUCCUUAAGUAAAAUAAAAAAUUGUAUAAAUUUUUAUGUUAACAAGUGGCACACAUUAAUUUACAGAGCACCUCAAAAAUAAGAAUGUAUAAAAGCUGUCAUAAGUACUAGAGCAAAAUAGCAAUAUUAGAUUUUCUUGGACCCUUAUUAUGUAUAUCAGGCACCAAAAUAUUACAUAAGCAUUGGAUAAGAAUUAAUCCCCUUUCUAUACUACAAGCAAGUAAUUUGAAAGAGGUAUAUUUUUCAAUUCAAUAACUUUUCAGCAGAAAAAGUUCAAAUAUAUUAUAUAUUCUUUUCCCCUUACUAAAUACUGUGAUAUUUAACACUAUAUUAGUAAAUACUGGUAAAAAAGGAAAUUUAACACUAUAAUGGUAUAGAUUACUGCUACAGGACCUAGAAGCUUAUUAUAUUUAAAAGGCAGAUUUUAUUGUACCUGCUAAAGACCCAUAAGAAAUGUCUUGAGUUAAAUAAUCAACAUAAAUGAGGACUGAGGAUGAUUUUUAAAAUUUCUAAUGUUCUUGACUUGAAUUUCUGAAUAGUAGAGGUAAUUAAAGAAAUUCCUCUUAGUAAUAUCUGACUCUUAAUCCUUUAACUAUAAAUUUUACUUGCUUUGGGCAAUAUACACUCCCACUGACUGUCUACUAUGAUAAGAGUAGUAUAAACAGACCAA